RNAcentral lists this ribosomal RNA (505 nucleotides) under uncultured bacterium. Its description in RNAcentral is "partial 16S ribosomal RNA". It matches the Rfam family "Bacterial small subunit ribosomal RNA", at positions 28 to 507 of the family's 1533-position model. The record is from RNAcentral.
GACGAACGCUGGCGGCGUGCCUAAUACAUGCAAGUAGAACGCACAGUUUAUACCGUAGCUUGCUACACCAUAAACUGUGAGUUGCGAACGGGUGAGUAACGCGUAGGUAACCUGCCUGGUAGCGGGGGAUAACUAUUGGAAACGAUAGCUAAUACCGCAUAAUAUUGAUUAUUGCAUGAUAAUUGAUUGAAAGAUGCUAUUGCAUCACUACCAGAUGGACCUGCGUUGUAUUAGCUAGUAGGUGAGGUAACGGCUCACCUAGGCGACGAUACAUAGCCGACCUGAGAGGGUGAUCGGCCACACUGGGACUGAGACACGGCCCAGACUCCUACGGGAGGCAGCAGGAGGGAAUCUUCGGCAAUGGACGAAAGUCUGACCGAGCAACGCCGCGGGAGUGAAGAAGGGUGUCGGAUCGUAAAGCUCUGUUGUAAGAGAAGAACGGGUGUGAGAGUGGAAAGUUCACACUGUGACGGUAUCUGACCAGAAAGGGACGGCUAACUACGUG